CCAUCUUAGAUUAGGGCAGAGCGGUCCGUUUGCCUGUGACGUGCCUCUAUGAAGCGAUAGGGAAGCCCGAGCGGCCAUGCUGAAGUUGGGCACUUUGCCCUUUCCCUGAGAGGGCAACGGUGAACUCACGGGUCAGGCUGGGCCCUAGAGAAGGAGACGGAGAGCCCCACCCCAGGGGAGUCUGGCUGCGCCUGCAGCUGGGAGGGGCUGAAGCUGGGGUGGGGGGUGAUGGCCCCUCAGUCAGCCCCAUCCCUGCACAGUCUUGGGACCUGGCACAGCCGGUGACUGCCCCCGCACUCCCAGCCCGUCGCCCUGCCCUUAGCCCCCUCGCAGAGCAGGAGGCCGAAGGCCCUGGUGGCAGCGCCGUGCAUUCGGAAAAACCCAAUUGAGAGAGAGAUGGAGAGAGAACAACCCUUGGAAAAUGAGUCAAAGAGGUAAUACAUGAAAGAACACUGAUGAAAAAACAAAAGCCCCAUGGAGGAGGGAAUGUACUCGUGAAAAUUUGUGAAGUUCACUGUGCUUCAUCUUCUCAAAUGGAGUUUGUUCCCCCACAGAAGAAUCAAGAUGCUUGGCCCUCCACCCACACAGUUAUGCCCAAGAUCCACAGUUCCUAUGAAGUGAACAUCACCACCAGCACACAGAGGUGCUGUUUGCAUUUAUCACUGCCUGUUAUCAUUUGACUACCGGAAAAGAAGGUGACUCUUAACCAGGAGAUGACUGCUAGAAGAGAGGCCUCCAAGGAGAUCAUUACCAAAAUAUUAUUCCAUGAUCAAAGAACUCAGCAACUCAUCAUGCCUAUGCGGCAACAUCUAACUCACCUCACAUACACUCUUGUCCUAUUGUAUUGAUUAAAAGUCAAAACAUUUCAAAUGUCAGAGAUGUGUGGGUGUGUACACACACACACAUAAAACAUGCAGAUAUAUGUAUAUACAUUUAGCCAAAUAUGGAGUGCGUAGCAUACUCUUUGUGACUAAUUUUGUUUGUCUGUAUGAAAAUUCUAUCUCCAAGCUGUUGUUCAGAUUGUUGUGUGUCAGGGGUUAAAAUUAACUGGCUAUUUUUAUAUGAAAUGUCUUUAUAACUUUACUCCAGAGGGGACCAUGUACCUCUCCAACUCAGAAGGGCAACAUCAAGCCCUUCCCUGACCCAUCCUAAAAGUGGGGGCUUUCUCUUUAAACUGCACUUCUAAUAUGAAUAAAACUGUCUGUCUGUCAAAACAAUCAUCUUCACUUUUGUGCCUUUAGAUGGUGUAAUCCAAACCUAAUCUAAGCAGGAAUUUGAGGGCUUGAUUUUUUCCCCUCACAGAUACUAGUAUAAAUCAAAAAUAGUUCCACUGGCAGUGAUGGAGUUACAGUGAUAUGAAAUGGGUCAAAGUGGGAAGAGAAUCAGGCACUGAAUUUCUAAGCUCUGUCCUGCCCCUCCACCAUCACCUUGGCAGCAUAUGCCCAGGAAAGACUAGA
Long non-coding RNA from Mauremys mutica (yellowpond turtle), 1457 nucleotides. RefSeq lists it as uncharacterized. NCBI's taxonomy places the organism in Eukaryota, Metazoa, Chordata, Testudines, Geoemydidae. The record is from RefSeq and is a predicted model, not a curated record. The transcript is spliced from 4 exons.